UGUUUUCCUUGUAAUUUGGUAAUAUACGACGAGAUAAAUCUCACAGUCUAUAGCAGAAUUUUUCAAUUCUUAAUCGUUCAAAUCUGUUACACAUUUUCACUGCUAAAUCCUUAAUACACUACAAAGGUCAAGCCGAUUAAUUCCGAAAGAUAACGGUGUUUACUAAGAAAUUAUUUUCGAAGUAAGAUGAUAUGAACGUACUAUGACACAUGUUACAGUUUUCUGCACACACACAGCUGUUUUUACUUGAUGUCAAAUUCCAAUACGGUUAAAAGAUUGAUUGUUUGUGUAAAAAUUUCGAUCGACUCAAAACGAAAAUUUAAAGAUCAGAUGACCACUAACAGUUACGAUUUUGUUUAAUGACAUACAUGUAGUUUAAUGACAGUUCUUUAAAUCUUUCAUAAUGCAGUUAUCUAUUUGCUGACGAAAAACGCCCAUGGUUACUUCCGAUUAUUUGCUAAAGCAUCCUGAACAUCCAAAUUUAACACAAUGAUCUAAACAUCUGGUCCGAUGUCAAAUGCAUGGUAGCUAUAUAACUAUAUACCCUGUUGUAUGAACAUUCUUAGAUUGUACCGUAGUCAAAAUUAAUUUCGCCGCCAGCCUGUUUGGUCUAAAAUGACAGAAGUUGUAUCACCAUCCUUGGGGAAACCAGCUCACAUAAAAUACACUUACCGGUAUUAUAUUGAAGUUCUCCACCAUAUUACGUUCACGAGGGACAUACACUUGGCUUCCCAUGCUGCUUAAAUUAUAAAUUUCCCAAGAGCAACAAAAACAAUUCUACUGCCAAGGCAAGUUUAUUCCAAAGAGACAUAUAACAUCAUAUUACUAUUCUAUAUGAUAUAAGACACAAUUGUUAUGAUUUUACCAUAAAACAUAUACGACCAUACAUAUACAUAUACAAAACAAUAUCUGGUAUUGUUUUCAACGGUAUCAAUAAUCUACAGGCAUUUGAAAACAAUGUGGUUGAAAUGACAAAAUGCAUAACCGCUUACUUUAAAUUCGAUUUUUUUUAUCUUCACCGAAUAAUAAAGAAAGGGUAACGCAUAUCAUCUGUCUUGAAACAGCUGGAGAAAGAUGGCCUUUAUCAAUUAUUUUCCCUAAAAAAAUAAAUUGAAAAUUUAAUGAUUAUCAUCUGAUUUUUUUUAUUCGAGUAAAGUGCUGUUGAGUUCACUUGUUUACUUGUUUGCGUUUUUUUUUUAUACAUCUUAAGAUGGCAAAGUGUAGAUUAUACACAAACACGUAUACGUAGUACAUAUAAAUAACUUGUACGUGUGUCUUUAGUUGAAUUGAGUCAGAUACUUACAUCUAUGCUACAUGUAAAUACAAACAACCUACCUGAUAC
This 1342-nucleotide long non-coding RNA is filed under the name Mytilus galloprovincialis (Mediterranean mussel). The record is from RNAcentral. Lineage: Eukaryota; Metazoa; Mollusca; Bivalvia; Mytilida; Mytilidae.